AACAUUAUAGUUUAUUAAAAAUAUUUGGUUUGCGUCCUAAAGAUGGGUUGUUACUCUUAUGUUG
RNAcentral lists this transfer RNA (64 nucleotides) under Echinococcus oligarthrus. RNAcentral describes it as "tRNA-Ala". The record is from RNAcentral. Lineage: Eukaryota; Metazoa; Platyhelminthes; Cestoda; Cyclophyllidea; Taeniidae.